This 425-nucleotide ribosomal RNA is filed under the name uncultured bacterium. RNAcentral describes it as "partial 16S ribosomal RNA". It matches the Rfam family "Bacterial small subunit ribosomal RNA", at positions 354 to 796 of the family's 1533-position model. The record is from RNAcentral.
GUGGGGAAUAUUGGACAAUGGGCGAAAGCCUGAUCCAGCAAUGCCGCGUGAGUGAUGAAGGCCUUAGGGUUGUAAAGCUCUUUUACCCGGGAUGAUAAUGACAGUACCGGGAGAAUAAGCUCCGGCUAACUCCGUGCCAGCAGCCGCGGUAAUACGGAGGGAGCUAGCGUUGUUCGGAAUUACUGGGCGUAAAGCGCACGUAGGCGGCUUUGUAAGUUAGAGGUGAAAGCAUGGAGCUUAACUCCAGAACUGCCUUUAAGACUGCAUCGAUUGAAGCCAGGAGAGGUGAGUGGAAUUCCGAGUGUAGAGGUGAAAUUCGUAGAUAUUCGGAAGAACACCAGUGGCGAAGGCGGCUCACUGGACUGGUAUUGACGCUGAGGUGCGAAAGCGUGGGGAGCAAACAGGAUUAGAUACCCCUGUAGUCC